AUUGAACGCUGGCGGCAGGCCUAACACAUGCAAGUCGAACGGUAACAGGAAGCAGCUUGCUGCUUUGCUGACGAGUGGCGGACGGGUGAGUAAUGUCUGGGAAACUGCCCGAUGGAGGGGGAUAACUACUGGAAACGGUAGCUAAUACCGCAUAACGUCGCAAGACCAAAGAGGGGGACCUUAGGGCCUCUUGCCAUCGGAUGUGCCCAGAUGGGAUUAGCUAGUAGGUGGGGUAACGGCUCACCUAGGCGACGAUCCCUAGCUGGUCUGAGAGGAUGACCAGCCACACUGGAACUGAGACACGGUCCAGACUCCUACGGGAGGCAGCAGUGGCGAAUAUUGCACAAUGGGCGCAAGCCUGAUGCAGCCAUGCCGCGUGUAUGAAGAAGGCCUUCGGGUUGUAAAGUACUUUCAGCGGGGAGGAAGGGAGUAAAGUUAAUACCUUUGCUCAUUGACGUUACCCGCAGAAGAAGCACCGGCUAACUCCGUG
Molecule: ribosomal RNA, 490 nt
Filed under: uncultured bacterium
Lineage: Bacteria
Description: partial 16S ribosomal RNA
Rfam family: Bacterial small subunit ribosomal RNA
Source: RNAcentral